Molecule: ribosomal RNA, 484 nt
Filed under: uncultured bacterium
Lineage: Bacteria
Description: partial 16S ribosomal RNA
Rfam family: Bacterial small subunit ribosomal RNA
Source: RNAcentral
AUUGAACGCUGGCGGCAGGCCUAACACAUGCAAGUCGAGCGGAUGAAGGGAGCUUGCUCCUGGAUUCAGCGGCGGACGGGUGAGUAAUGCCUAGGAAUCUGCCUGGUAGUGGGGGAUAACGUCCGGAAACGGGCGCUAAUACCGCAUACGUCCUGAGGGAGAAAGUGGGGGAUCUUCGGACCUCACGCUAUCAGAUGAGCCUAGGUCGGAUUAGCUAGUUGGUGGGGUAAAGGCCUACCAAGGCGACGAUCCGUAACUGGUCUGAGAGGAUGAUCAGUCACACUGGAACUGAGACACGGUCCAGACUCCUACGGGAGGCAGCAGUGGGUAAUAUUGGACAAUGGGCGAAAGCCUGAUCCAGCCAUGCCGCAUGUGUGAAGAAGGUAUUCGGAUUGUAAGGCACUUUAAGUAGGGAGGAAGGGCAGUAAGUUAAUACCUUGCUGUUUUGACGUUACCAACAGAAUAAGCACAGGCUGAGUUGGUG